GCGGGCAGGGAGCGGCGCGAGGGAGCGAGGCGUGCUCGGGAGAUGAAUCAGGAGUUCAGUGGAGAGGAUUAAACGCGAGCGGGCACGAGGCCAGCCCAGAAGCUUGGAGACCCGCAGUUGUUUACACCGACCUUUUAAUACCUUCUUAGCCAGAAAUAGAAGCAGAGGGAGAUGGAGAGAAAAGGUGUAUCAGACCAUUUGCUCCUCCAACGGCAGUUUCGAUAGUUUCUUUCAUGUUCUCUGUAUGUUUAGACUUUAAUUUUAACUAAUGUUCUAAAGCUUUGACCUGUCUGGCUCACCUAAUAUUAAAAAUCAAUCCCCAAAGUAGCUGAAGACUCGAAGGAACAGCUCGAAAGAAUCAAAUGAACCAGUACCUGCAGAACAAUAGACAGUGCGACUCUAUUAACCUGUAGGUGAAACACAUUAAGGCAUUAAAUUUGAAACCUGGAACUUAGCCAACUUAGGCUUGACUCUUGGCCCUACCACUUCAGUAUCUCCUGGGAGAUUCUUCAACGUCUCCUAAUCUGUUUCCUUGGGUAUAAGGAUGAAUAACAAUACCAGUCUAGAAUCACGAAUGAAGAUGGAAUGAGACAUUGCCUAGCACAUUGUGAGAGCUGUAUAAACGUUAGCUUCAUUCUCAAGUGUCCUUGAGGGCUAGCAACCCCCACUUGACUCUCAGGGGAAAGACGUUUGUAUUUUCUCCUAAAUACAGCGUGUUUCUUGACUCUAUAGCAACUUUCUUUAAAAGUAAUCCGCCGACGCGUUUAUUAAACUACAUAGUAUUAACUCUAAUGGAGUCAAUGAUAACCAGUGAGCUAUUAUAAAGAAGAGUAUUAGGAGAUUUAAGCAAACGGAUGCAAAAUAUUUCAGCGCAGUUUUAGGGAUUACUCAUUCCUGUUUUUCACUAACAUAUGAUUGCGAUCAUUUACCAAUACAUUGCGCAUACGGAAAAUUACAUUUAAUUAUGGUAUUGGUUAGGUGGGUUAGUCUGUAACUUAAAGGUAAAAUAUAUUGACAGGAUAAAAUGAAGGCUUUGAAACUAUGCAAAGCGGGAAAACGAGGCCAAGCAAAAAACGGAAUUACCAUAAUUCAUGGUCAGAAGAUUCAUUAGAACGCAUUUGCCUUCGAGAAUUAGAUUCUCUGCAGAGAGGAGGUAAAAGCCAGUUCUCGAGAAAUUAACAGUGGCGAGAACAGCGGAGAACGGUGUUAAACCAUCUUGAUAGGCAGAAGGCUCAGAAAGCCUUAAAAUAACCUUCACCGAAGAGACGAUUUUCUUUUUACCCUCCCUGCCUCCUACAAUUAAUGCCAUUUAAUGCAUCGUCGAUCUUUUAAAGGGGAAAAUAUGCCAUACAGCAGCUCCCCAUACAUAACUGACGCACCACACAUGUUUCAAGACUGUGUGCAAACGUUUCAAAUGUCACUCCACCUCACUCCGGUUCCAAAACCUAAAAAUCACUUUCCAGCCACUCGCGCGCGUCCGCGAUUCACGAAGGCCAGGACCUCGAGGCGGGGGCUAACGGGAAGCACACGCAGUCCGCACGCGCCUGUAAAUCAGCAGUUUCAGUGCUCACGCCGAGAAGUAACUAGCUAUUUAUGACUUAUUUCUAAUUUAAAACCGAGCGAUUUCAAAAAGGGACUCGAGACGAUUUUCACGUCUACAACCAGGCAGUCGUCGACAAGUUUCUACAGUCCACUUCACGGACUCCCCGCACCACGCCAGGCCCUGCACGCCCCGCAUCGCGCCUGGAUCCACACAGCCUAAAUGGCCGACCGCUUUGAGAAGCGGCGGCGCGAACGACUUUUCUACUGUAGAUCGCCGGGGCCGCUAGAGCGACCAACCAAUGGCCGCCUUCUCUCGUCCUUCUCGUCCCGCCUUCCGGUUCCACUUAAGCCAAUAGAAAGCGCAACCUGGAGACAGACACCAAUGAGAGAUCGAGGGCGGGCACCAUUGGCUGCGGUCGCCCCGCAGUGCAGUCUGGGUCUUUGCCUCCGUUACCGUGGAGCCGAGGUAGCCGCGCC
Molecule: long non-coding RNA, 2019 nt
Filed under: Equus asinus (donkey)
Lineage: Eukaryota; Metazoa; Chordata; Mammalia; Perissodactyla; Equidae
Description: lncRNA (ENSEASG00005024844.1)
Source: RNAcentral